UAGGGAAUCUUCGGCAAUGGGGGGAACCCUGACCGAGCAACGCCGCGUGAGUGAAGAAGGUUUUCGGAUCGUAAAGCUCUGUUGUUAAGGAAGAACGAGUGUGAGAAUGGAAAGUUCAUACUGUGACGGUACUUAACCAGAAAGGGACGGCUAACUACGUGCCAGCAGCCGCGGUAAUACGUAGGUCCCGAGCGUUGUCCGGAUUUAUUGGGCGUAAAGCGAGCGCAGGCGGUUAGAUAAGUCUGAAGUUAAAGGCAGUGGCUCAACCAUUGUAGGCUUUGGAAACUGUUUAACUUGAGUGCAGAAGGGGAGAGUGGAAUUCCAUGUGUAGUGGUGAAAUGCGUAGAUAUAUGGAGGAACACCGGUGGCGAAAGCGGCUCUCUGGUCUGUAACUGACGCUGAGGCUCGAAAGCGUGGGGAGCGAACAGG
This 429-nucleotide ribosomal RNA is filed under the name Bacteroidota bacterium. RNAcentral's name for it is "Bacteroidetes bacterium partial 16S ribosomal RNA". It matches the Rfam family "Bacterial small subunit ribosomal RNA", at positions 355 to 776 of the family's 1533-position model. The record is from RNAcentral. Lineage: Bacteria; Pseudomonadati; Bacteroidota.